GAAACGACUCUCGGCAACGGAUAUCUCGGCUCUCGCAUCGAUGAAGAACGUAGCAAAAUGCGAUACCUGGUGUGAAUUGCAGAAUCCCGCGAACCAUCGAGUUUUUGAACGCAAGUUGCGCCCGAGGCCUUCUGGUCGAGGGCACGUCUGCCUGGGCGUCACGCC
This 165-nucleotide ribosomal RNA is filed under the name Zeugites sylvaticus. Its description in RNAcentral is "5.8S ribosomal RNA". It matches the Rfam family "5.8S ribosomal RNA". From Rfam's summary of the family: 5.8S ribosomal RNA (5.8S rRNA) is a component of the large subunit of the eukaryotic ribosome. It is transcribed by RNA polymerase I as part of the 45S precursor that also contains 18S and 28S rRNA. Functionally, it is thought that 5.8S rRNA may be involved in ribosome translocation. The record is from RNAcentral. Lineage: Eukaryota; Viridiplantae; Streptophyta; Magnoliopsida; Poales; Poaceae.